AACCCAUGAUGAGGACACUUGCAUAGAAGAUCCUUAAACCGUUCAUGUGCCUCAAAAAGUGUUUCAGAGUCCCCUCGCUUGAAGAAUAAAAUCUCUUGUCUCAGUCU
Dioscorea cayenensis subsp. rotundata (Guinea yam) is the source of this 107-nucleotide small nucleolar RNA. NCBI's taxonomy places the organism in Eukaryota, Viridiplantae, Streptophyta, Magnoliopsida, Dioscoreales, Dioscoreaceae. The record is from RefSeq and is a predicted model, not a curated record.